This 486-nucleotide ribosomal RNA is filed under the name uncultured bacterium. RNAcentral describes it as "partial 16S ribosomal RNA". It matches the Rfam family "Bacterial small subunit ribosomal RNA", at positions 30 to 507 of the family's 1533-position model. The record is from RNAcentral.
AUUGAACGCUGGCGACAUGCCUUACACAUGCAAGUCGAACGGCAGCACGGGUGCUUGCACCUGGUGGCGAGUGGCGAACGGGUGAGUAAUACAUCGGAACAUGUCCUGUAGUGGGGGAUAGCCCGGCGAAAGCCGGAUUAAUACCGCAUACGAUCUACGGAUGAAAGCGGGGGACCUUCGGGCCUCGCGCUAUAGGGUUGGCCGAUGGCUGAUUAGCUAGUUGGUGGGGUAAAGGCCUACCAAGGCGACGAUCAGUAGCUGGUCUGAGAGGACGACCAGCCACACUGGGACUGAGACACGGCCCAGACUCCUACGGGAGGCAGCAGUGGGGAAUUUUGGACAAUGGGCGAAAGCCUGAUCCAGCAAUGCCGCGUGUGUGAAGAAGGCCUUCGGGUUGUAAAGCACUUUUGUCCGGAGAGAAAUCCUUGGCCCUAAUACGGUCGGGGGAUGACGGUACCGGAAGAAUAAGCACCGGCUAACUACGUG